This 260-nucleotide ribosomal RNA is filed under the name uncultured bacterium. RNAcentral describes it as "partial small subunit ribosomal RNA". It matches the Rfam family "Bacterial small subunit ribosomal RNA", at positions 26 to 285 of the family's 1533-position model. The record is from RNAcentral.
AGAAUCAACGCUGGCGGCGUGCCUAACACAUGCAAGUCGAACGAGAAAGUGGAGCAAUCCAUGAGUAAAGUGGCGACCGGGUGAGUAACACGUGACUAACCUACCUUCGAGUGGGGGAUAACCUAGGGAAACCUGGGCUAAUACCGCAUAACAUCUUUGGAUCGGAAGAACUGGAGAUCAAAGGGGCAAUUCGCUUGAAGAGGGGGUCGCGGCUGAUUAGCUAGUUGGCGGGUAAUGGCCCACCAAGGCUUUGAUCGGUA